This 75-nucleotide transfer RNA is filed under the name Caenorhabditis japonica. RNAcentral's name for it is "tRNA CJA47943". It matches the Rfam family "tRNA". Rfam says of the family: Transfer RNA (tRNA) molecules are approximately 80 nucleotides in length. Their secondary structure includes four short double-helical elements and three loops (D, anti-codon, and T loops). The record is from RNAcentral. Lineage: Eukaryota; Metazoa; Nematoda; Chromadorea; Rhabditida; Rhabditidae.
UCGUCGAUAACUCAGUUGGUAGAGCGGAAGACUGUAGGUAUCCUUAGCUCGCUGUUUCAAAUCCUGCUCGACGGA